UACGGGGGGAGCAAGCGUUGUUCGGAUUUACUGGGCGUAAAGGGCGCGUAGGCGGUCGUGACAAGUCACUUGUGAAAUCUCCGGGCUUAACUCGGAACGGUCAAGUGAUACUGUCGGACUAGAGUACAGAAGGGGCAACUGGAAUUCUCGGUGUAGCGGUGAAAUGCGUAGAUAUCGAGAGGAACACCUGCGGCGAAAGGCGGGUUGCUGGGC
Molecule: ribosomal RNA, 213 nt
Filed under: uncultured bacterium
Lineage: Bacteria
Description: partial 16S ribosomal RNA
Rfam family: Bacterial small subunit ribosomal RNA
Source: RNAcentral